This 336-nucleotide long non-coding RNA is filed under the name Salmo salar (Atlantic salmon). RNAcentral's name for it is "lncRNA (ENSSSAG00000114634.1, ENSSSAG00020082694.1, ENSSSAG00075063547.1)". The record is from RNAcentral. Lineage: Eukaryota; Metazoa; Chordata; Actinopteri; Salmoniformes; Salmonidae.
UGACAACCAAAUGAGGGCACUGUAAGAUCAUAACAAAUCCUAUUGGGUUAAUUAAUUUUAUCUGAUUAUACUGAUUAUGGUAACAAUCCACAAAUAUUGUGACUGAUGCCAAAAACAGGUGAUGCUCAGGCCUACAAUGAAUGGUGCUGAGAGGCAAGGUGCGGGAAAACGAAGCGGUAAUAACGUCCCCAGGGAGGGGACAGCCGUUGAAGGGCGAGGCCCUCGGGAACUGUCGCUCAUCCAGGAUACGAUCAGGUAGUGCAUUCCAGAGCUGAGGGGCCACAUGAGAGAAGGCCCUGUCACCCAUGCUGCACUGGUUUGUUGCUGGUGUAACCA